Molecule: ribosomal RNA, 484 nt
Filed under: uncultured bacterium
Lineage: Bacteria
Description: partial 16S ribosomal RNA
Rfam family: Bacterial small subunit ribosomal RNA
Source: RNAcentral
AUUGAACGCUGGCGGCAGGCCUAACACAUGCAAGUCGAGCGGAUGAAGGGAGCUUGCUCCUGAAUUCAGCGGCGGACGGGUGAGUAAUGCCUAGGAAUCUGCCUGGUAGUGGGGGAUAACGUCCGGAAACGGGCGCUAAUACCGCAUACGUCCUGAGGGAGAAAGUGGGGGAUCUUCGGACCUCACGCUAUCAGAUGAGCCUAGGUCGGAUUAGCUAGUUGGUGGGGUAAAGGCCUACCAAGGCGACGAUCCGUAACUGGUCUGAGAGGAUGAUCAGUCACACUGGAACUGAGACACGGUCCAGACUCCUACGGGAGGCAGCAGUGGGGAAUAUUGGACAAAGGGCGAAAGCCUGAUCCAGCCAUGCCGCGUGUGUGAAGAAGGUCUUCGGAUUGUAAAGCACUUUAAGUUGGGAGGAAGGGCAGUAAGUUAAUACCUUGCUGUUUUGACGUUACCAACAGAAUAAGCACCGGCUAACUUCGUG